GAUGAAGAACGUAGCGAAAUGCGAUACGUAAUGUGAAUUGCAGAAUUCAGUGAAUCAUCGAGUCUUUGAACGCGCAUUGCGGCCCCUGGUAUUCCGGGGGGCAUGCCUGUCCGAGCGUCAUUGCUGCCCUCAAGCACGGCUUGUGUGUUGGGCCUCCGUCCUCCUCCCGGGGGACGGGCCCGAAAGGCAGCGGCGGCACCGCGUCCGGUCCUCGAGCGUAUGGGGCUUCGUCACCCGCUCUUGUAGGCCCGGCCGGCGCUUGCCGACACAUCAAUCUUUUUUCCAGGUUGACCUCGGAUCAGGUAGGGAUACCCGCUGAACUUAAGCAUAUCAAUAAGCGGAGGA
RNAcentral lists this unclassified non-coding RNA (345 nucleotides) under soil metagenome. RNAcentral describes it as "partial contains 5.8S ribosomal RNA, internal transcribed spacer 2, and large subunit ribosomal RNA". The stretch from base 1 to 120 matches the Rfam family "5.8S ribosomal RNA", at positions 35 to 154 of the family's 154-position model. The record is from RNAcentral.